Molecule: long non-coding RNA, 336 nt
Filed under: Helianthus annuus (common sunflower)
Lineage: Eukaryota; Viridiplantae; Streptophyta; Magnoliopsida; Asterales; Asteraceae
Description: hypothetical non coding rna
Source: RNAcentral
CGAAUUCUGAACACCCCUACGGCUAUAUCCGCCUCUCCUCCGCCGCGUGUGUGGCUGCAUGACGGAAUAACGAAUCUGCAACUUCAAGCUCGGAUUUCGGUCGGAGUUGUUACCGAGAAAGCGAAGGUUGAGUUUCUAGACGCAACGGCUAGGGUUGAAGAGAGUUUAAAUAAUCGGAGACGGUGGAGGUGUUGGUUAUGCCGCCUCCGGUGAUGGUGACGGUGGUGAUUAUGAGAGGAGAUUUGAGUCUGCUGAAGUUGUUGUGUCCACUAGAGAAGGUGACACCUAAAAGUUCACCCAAAUAUGUAACCAGCUGAUCUCCCAAUCUAUCAAGUC